GAUGAACGCUGGCGGCGUGCCUAAUACAUGCAAGUCGAGCGAACAGACGAGGAGCUUGCUUCUCUGACGUUAGCGGCGGACGGGUGAGUAACACGUGGAUAACCUACCUAUAAGACUGGGAUAACUUCGGGAAACCGGAGCUAAUACCGGAUAAUAUAUUGAACCGCAUGGUUCAAUAGUGAAAGACGGUUUUGCUGUCACUUAUAGAUGGAUCCGCGCCGCAUUAGCUAGUUGGUAAGGUAACGGCUUACCAAGGCAACGAUGCGUAGCCGACCUGAGAGGGUGAUCGGCCACACUGGAACUGAGACACGGUCCAGACUCCUACGGGAGGCAGCAGUAGGGAAUCUUCCGCAAUGGGCGAUAGCCUGACGGAGCAACGCCGCGUGAGUGAUGAAGGUCUUCGGAUCGUAAAACUCUGUUAUUAGGGAAGAACAAAUGUGUAAGUAACUAUGCACGUCUUGACGGUACCUAAUCAGAAAGCCACGGCUAACUACGUG
This 497-nucleotide ribosomal RNA is filed under the name uncultured bacterium. RNAcentral's name for it is "partial 16S ribosomal RNA". It matches the Rfam family "Bacterial small subunit ribosomal RNA", at positions 28 to 507 of the family's 1533-position model. The record is from RNAcentral.